This 96-nucleotide non-coding RNA is filed under the name Luteimonas sp. 9C. RNAcentral describes it as "TPP". It matches the Rfam family "TPP riboswitch aptamer (THI element)". From Rfam's summary of the family: Vitamin B(1) in its active form thiamin pyrophosphate (TPP) is an essential coenzyme that is synthesised by coupling of pyrimidine and thiazole moieties in bacteria. The previously detected thiamin-regulatory element, thi box was extended, resulting in a new, highly conserved RNA secondary structure, the THI element, which is widely distributed in eubacteria and also occurs in some archaea. The record is from RNAcentral. Lineage: Bacteria; Pseudomonadati; Pseudomonadota; Gammaproteobacteria; Lysobacterales; Lysobacteraceae.
GCGCCGAAGCGGGGGUACCGGCAUGAGCCGGUUGAGACAGUCCCUUCGAACCUGAUCCGGUUGAUACCGGCGUAGGGAAGCUUCGCAGAACCUGCC